GCGGACGUGGUGGAAUGGCAGACACACCAGAUUUAGGUUCUGGCACCGCAAGGUAUGAGAGUUCAAGUCUCUCCGUCCGCA
Molecule: transfer RNA, 81 nt
Filed under: Ventosimonas gracilis
Lineage: Bacteria; Pseudomonadati; Pseudomonadota; Gammaproteobacteria; Pseudomonadales; Ventosimonadaceae
Rfam family: tRNA
About the family: Transfer RNA (tRNA) molecules are approximately 80 nucleotides in length. Their secondary structure includes four short double-helical elements and three loops (D, anti-codon, and T loops).
Source: Rfam by way of RNAcentral